Molecule: long non-coding RNA, 4160 nt
Filed under: Anas zonorhyncha (Eastern spot-billed duck)
Lineage: Eukaryota; Metazoa; Chordata; Aves; Anseriformes; Anatidae
Description: lncRNA (ENSAZOG00000010947.1)
Source: RNAcentral
GGGUGGGACUUGUCAGUAUGGGAGGGCCCUUGUGGGGUUGCUUUCGGGUGUCUGGGGUGUUGCAAGGGUGUGAAGAGGGAUGUUUGGGGGGCUCUGGGGACCCCUAAUGAGGAGAAGGAGUUGAGCUGGGCAUACAUAAUGUGGUGAAUGGAGUGGGGUGGGAAGGACUCUGAAGGCUUGUGAGCUGCUGGAAGUACAGAGUUUGUUUUUUAGGAGACCUCAGGUUGUUGAGGGGUGGGUGUGUACGUUCCUCGUGGGCGCCAAAUGUGCUCUCUGCAAGGAAGGCCAACGGUGUCCUGGGCUGCAUGAGUCAAGGUGUCCCCAGCAGGACAAGGAGGGGACCCUUUCUGUCCUUUCUGCACCUGUGGGGUCACACCUGGAGCGCUGGGCCCAGCUCCCAGAGGUGGAUGUGGGACUGGGCACCAGCUUGGGGUGGCCCUGCUGGGACAGGGGGAGCUGAACGUUGGGCUUUGAGCUCCAUGUGGCAUGUGGUAUUUGUGAUAUUGAUAGCCCUGUGUCUGAGCAGGCUGUUGGUGCUGGAAGGCUCUGAACUUCCCUUUGGUGAUGACUACAAAGCCUGGGGGCUUCUUAGUGGCCUAAAGGCUCUUAAUGUCCACAAAUGACAUUUUAAAAGUUACGAUACUGUGCUUUCAGGUGAUUUUUUUGUUCACUGCUCAAUCUGGAGAGAUUUACUCUGAGCGUGGUGCUCGUUGCAGUGCAGGCCUGUGAUUUCAGGAAGCUGGACAGCACUGGUGUGAGUGGUGAAGGACAGAAGGGACACAGAGAGAUACUUACUGCAGUCUUAAAAUAUGAGAAAUUUGAUUGGAUUUCAGUUUUGCCUCUACAUAUGUGAGAAAAGGAGAAAAUCCACCUUGUGAUCCUGAAAAUUAGUAGUAACUGGCUUUCAUCCCCCUUUUAAACCAUUUCUAAAUUCCUUUUGCUGUUAGGUGAGGCUCAAAUCAACAUGGAGCUGCAGCUCUUUUCCAUGUUUCAUGUUUGAUUGAGAGAAUUUGAAUCUUUCUCACAUUCUGUCAUUCCACUUCUGGCUGCUUUUGACUCCCUCUGACUCUGACCCAGCUGAGGAAAGGGGUGUUUGGUGCAAUAGGUUGCUACCACAUAUCGAGCCAUCGUGUACAAAAACAACUUCUUAGCCUGCUUCGGGAGCCUCUUGGGUUAUGGUAACACCCACUAAAGCUUUCUGCAGUAAGGUCAGACCUUGACAAAACAGUUGCACGGUGUUAGGUUUGAACCUGACCUCUGUGCUGCCCUUAGAGAAAGGGGAAAUUCUGACCAGGGAGAGGGAACGAAUUCCUCGAGAGAGGAGCUGGUAGCGAGGUGUUCCCUGCUAGUGCUGUGCCAUUCUUAAAAGGAAACUGCUUUUCAUGGUUGGAUAAAAUCACUUCUUAAAGAACAGCAUUUUAAACGUAAUCCCCUCCCUCACCUACUUAGGGGUUUGCAUUUGCUCUCAGAGCCUUGCUUGCCAGCACAGCAGUUGAGGCAGGGGGUUACUAAUUGGAGUACAGGAAGUUUUGAUGUGUAAUUAAUCAAAAGACCUGAGGACGUUGUCAGAGUUCGGGACCUGAGUUCAAAGGCCUGCCACGUAAAGGCCGUUGCAGAUACUUUAGGCAGCGAGUCACACGCAGACAGAGAGGCCAGAGGAGGAAAGGGUAGAUCAGGCUUCAAGAGCAGGAUCAGGUCUCCCUGGUUAUGCUCGGUCUGGUAAGUUGUGACAGCAUUUUCUUCACAGAGAGGGUGGACAAGUGUUGGGAUGGGUUUAGUGAUGGGAUUUGGUGAUCUUAGAGAUCUUGGAGGUCUUUUCCAGCCCAUCUGAUGCCACAAUUCUGUGCAUUCCCUUACAGGUGGCGUGGCAAAACUGCUUGUGAGUAGUUAAAUAUUUGAGGUGUGUUAGUAACUUGUUGCCGUGGGCACAGAACACCUCCGGUGUGCGAGUAAUGAGGCUGUGGUGAAAAACAAAUAAAGGUGGUUGUGGUGCUGUGCCAGAGCAGGUGUGCUGGGGCAAUUGGAGAGGAGAGGAGAGUUGGGUGAGUCUGCGUGGCAGCUGUUGGUGAUGAGAAGACAGGUGAAGCAGCUGCAUUAAUUUAUUUGUAGGUUUUGCCUUCUCUUAUGGCUCUCACCUCUUUCAGCUGCAUCUAUGUUACACUUCAAAUAAAUCCCUGAAUUGCUGAAAAACUCUUUUUAAUGUUUGCACAGCAACUGCCCUACUCCCAUUUUGUGUUGUUGGGGAGCAGGGAGAUAGCUGUGCAAACGGAGCUCUGUGAGAAGCAGAUCGGUGAACGUGUCCCCAGGUGAUUUCCCCUGGGGUUGUGCUCACCUGCUCUCAGACAUCUGAAGGUUUGAGUCACUGCAUCACCUUACAAUCUCUCGGGGAUGUUUGUGGCCCUUCUGUUUCGUGCAUUCACCAGUUUUCACCAAACCAAAAGGCACGUAAGAUACAUGUCCCAUGUGCACCUACAGCUUGACUGUGUGUUCCUUAGACAUCAAAGGUAAAAACGCACGGAUUUAAAGCCAGAAAUAAACACAGCCUUUUGGGAUAAACACAGCCGUGGCAGGACGUUUUAGGGCUCUGCUCUCCUACUAAGGGGCACUGACUCGAUCUGGCUUUCGGUUUGGAAGUCUCCUGGUGGGGACUGAUACCCUGCUCUCUCCCAGGAGAGCACAGAGCCCCUCAGAGGGGUGUGCUGAUGCUUGGUGCGAGCCUUUAGCCCUGAAGCAAGUAGAUAAAUAGUUUUAAUUUGCUUUUUAAGGAAAUGACUUGUUAUGCUUUCUGUUUGUUCUCUGGGCAAGCGUUAGUUCCUUUACCAUGCUGGCAAAUGCCAGCCACCUUUGACAAAGGGGUUCUGGUCUAAAACUGCUAAGUUUUUUUAAGUUGUGUGGAAGUGAUGCCUGUGGAGCAGAACUGACACCCUCUUGGUGCAGCUCGUGGUGAGAACUCAGCUCCUGUGAGACAUCUGACAAGCUCUAUGGGCAAGGGAGAUGAUGAAGGGCUGAACUGGAGGGGACUUUGCUCUCUUACCUUCUUAGAUAGCAAAAGCACUUGACAGUGAGACAUGUUUUAAACCAUCUUGGAGCGUUGGCAGUGAUUCUUGAUACAGGGCUGCUUACAGCAACCCUCUAUCAAAAGUUAGACUUCACAGUGGUUUGUUUUGUCUAAUGCUUCAUUUAUGUUGUUUGCCUGAAGCAGAUUAAAUGUUUGUUUUUUUAUUUUCUUUAGAGUUUGUGGUAAUCACUGCCUGUCUGCUGAGUUGGAGCUGUUGGUUUACAGCACUUUAAAGACGGUGAUUAGGGCAGCAGAAAUACUUUGCAUAUCAUUUCAGAGGAGGUGAUCUGAGUGCCUUUGAGUGCCUCUAGCAACUGAUGUCUGGGUUAAGGAAAUGAGUUGUUUGUUUUCCUUGGGGCAAAAUACUCCUUCGGUUAGGUUCACCCAUUGCAGGCAGGUUUUACAUAUUGGUACCGAUAAGGGUCAUUAGUGAGUUAUCUAAACUGCUCAUUAUGGUUUAUCUUUCAGAGACGUGAGCUGUGUUAGUCCUCUAACAUCUUGUGCUGACUCCUCGUGGUAUGUCCGAAGGACAGAUCUCUUGUGUGAUGUGAAUGUACCAGGUAAAUCCCAGUAAUAAUAACUUUUUGUGGGAGAUGGUGACCUGCCAAAGAGUAAGAAGUCGAGAGAGAGCAACAUUUAUUCUAUAUUUAGCCAUAAUUACUUCUGUAAAAAGAGCCUGAUGGGCUAUAGCCAUUUUUUAAAAUCUAUUUCUGUGUUACGCUGGAAAAUCAGGCCUGAUCUGCAACGCUAAUGCAACUGGAGACUUACCGAGGCUGCAGAGUGUCCGUGGGAGUGAGCUGCUUUCCAUAAAUACUUGUAAGAAGUUUACUCAGCAUUUCUGGUACUGAGGUAAAGCAGAAGGAGGAAAAAUAGUGGAAGUUUUCAGACAGGUAGCUCCCUGGCAGAUCCCUGGCCUCACCUUUUUGUCUGAGAGAGGCAGCAGAGGGAUGCAGCUCUGAUCUUUGGGGCUGGUUUGUCUGUCUUCCGAGGCAGAGGUUGUACACAAGGUAUUGGUCAGCAGCAGUGGUGAAUAAACUCCAACCUUGAGAUGUUUCAGGCUUGUGUAUUGGCUGGUGAAUAUCCAAGGUGGAUUGUUAACCUA